This 464-nucleotide ribosomal RNA is filed under the name uncultured bacterium. RNAcentral's name for it is "partial 16S ribosomal RNA". It matches the Rfam family "Bacterial small subunit ribosomal RNA", at positions 28 to 507 of the family's 1533-position model. The record is from RNAcentral.
GACGAACGCUGGCGGCGUGCUUAACACAUGCAAGUCGAACGGAAAGGCUCUGCUUGCAGGGUACUCUAGUGGCGAACGGGUGAGUAACACGUGGGUGAUCUGCCCUGCACUUCGGGAUAAGCCUGGGAAACUGGGUCUAAUACCGGAUAGGAGCGAUUUUUAUUGUGAUGGUUGGAAAGUUUUUUCGGUUUCGGAUGAGCUCGCGGCCUAUCAGCUUGUUGGUGGGUAAUGGCCGUCCAAGGCGGCCACGGGUAGCCGGCCUGAGAGGGUGGACGGCCACAUUGGGCCUAGGAUCUCGCCCAGACUCCUACCGGAGGCAGGAGUGGGGAAUAUUGCAACAUGGUCGCAAGACUGAGGCAGAGACGCCGCGUGGGGGAUGACGCCCUUCGGGUUGUAAACCCCUUUCGCUAGGGACGAAGCUUUUUGUGACGGUACCUAGACAAGAAGCACCGGCUAACUACGUG